This 497-nucleotide ribosomal RNA is filed under the name Klebsiella variicola. Its description in RNAcentral is "bacterial SSU rRNA". It matches the Rfam family "Bacterial small subunit ribosomal RNA", at positions 37 to 526 of the family's 1533-position model. The record is from RNAcentral. Lineage: Bacteria; Pseudomonadati; Pseudomonadota; Gammaproteobacteria; Enterobacterales; Enterobacteriaceae.
UCAAAUUGCGCGGCUACCAUGCAGUCGAGCGGUAGCACAGAGAGCUUGCUCUCGGGUGACGAGCGGCGGACGGGUGAGUAAUGUCUGGGAAACUGCCUGAUGGAGGGGGAUAACUACUGGAAACGGUAGCUAAUACCGCAUAACGUCGCAAGACCAAAGUGGGGGACCUUCGGGCCUCAUGCCAUCAGAUGUGCCCAGAUGGGAUUAGCUGGUAGGUGGGGUAACGGCUCACCUAGGCGACGAUCCCUAGCUGGUCUGAGAGGAUGACCAGCCACACUGGAACUGAGACACGGUCCAGACUCCUACGGGAGGCAGCAGUGGGGAAUAUUGCACAAUGGGCGCAAGCCUGAUGCAGCCAUGCCGCGUGUGUGAAGAAGGCCUUCGGGUUGUAAAGCACUUUCAGCGGGGAGGAAGGCGGUGAGGUUAAUAACCUCAUCGAUUGACGUUACCCGCAGAAGAAGCACCGGCUAACUCCGUGCCAGCAGCGGCGGUAAUAA